AAGUUUUGUGCCGAAGCCCGUAAU
Molecule: non-coding RNA, 24 nt
Filed under: Arabidopsis thaliana (thale cress)
Lineage: Eukaryota; Viridiplantae; Streptophyta; Magnoliopsida; Brassicales; Brassicaceae
Source: RNAcentral